This 373-nucleotide ribosomal RNA is filed under the name uncultured bacterium. RNAcentral describes it as "bacterial SSU rRNA". It matches the Rfam family "Bacterial small subunit ribosomal RNA", at positions 524 to 898 of the family's 1533-position model. The record is from RNAcentral.
UACGUAGGGGGCGAGCGUUAUCCGGAAUUAUUGGGCGUAAAGGGUGCGUAGGCGGCCUUGUAAGUCAGGUGUGAAAGGCUACGGCUCAACCGUAGUUAGCACUUGAAACUGCAGGGCUUGAGUGCAGGAGAGGAGAGUGGAAUUCCUAGUGUAGCGGUGAAAUGCGUAGAUAUUAGGAGGAACACCAGUGGCGAAGGCGACUCUCUGGACUGUAACUGACGCUGAGGCAUGAAAGCGUGGGGAGCGAACAGGAUUAGAUACCCUGGUAGUCCACGCCGUAAACGAUGAGUACUAGGUGUUGGGGUCGACAGGCUUCAGUGCCGCAGUCAACACAUUAAGUACUCCGCCUGGGGAGUACGGUCGCAAGACUGAA